ACUAUUUUGGCAAAGUCUAGCCUGCAAUAAAUUUAGAAUUUAUAAAUAUAAUUUUUAAUUAUAAAUAGUA
This 70-nucleotide transfer RNA is filed under the name Anopheles argyritarsis. RNAcentral describes it as "tRNA-Leu". The record is from RNAcentral. Lineage: Eukaryota; Metazoa; Arthropoda; Insecta; Diptera; Culicidae.